GCAAGAAUGCUAUAAUACCAACAUGCUCAAAAGUAGUGACAUAGACAUAGAAAGAGACUCGGUAUUUUCGGAUAGCACCCUCCACCUUCGUGUGAUACAAGGAUGCUGUGGUUCUGUUUUCACGAUUUUUAGACACUUUCACUGCAAGCUGCGGCAAUCUGUACCAAUUCAGUUUCUUUUUCCAAUAUCUUCACGCACGCUCGUCAUAUCACCGAACCAAGCGCACCGAUGCGUUCGUUGACCUAUCAAUUAAGUUAGAAUGAGAUCAAUCUCAAGCUUCGACCUCAUCUUUACGAAACCCCAAUUUUGGGUCCCUAUACAACAUCAUCUUCUCCAUUUUAGGUCCUCAACAAGAAGAAAAU
This 362-nucleotide long non-coding RNA is filed under the name Ananas comosus (pineapple). Its description in RNAcentral is "long non-coding RNA (ACOM_LNC033391)". The record is from RNAcentral. Lineage: Eukaryota; Viridiplantae; Streptophyta; Magnoliopsida; Poales; Bromeliaceae.